This 235-nucleotide long non-coding RNA is filed under the name Gossypium raimondii (Peruvian cotton). RNAcentral describes it as "long non-coding RNA (GRAI_LNC000045)". Lineage: Eukaryota; Viridiplantae; Streptophyta; Magnoliopsida; Malvales; Malvaceae. The record is from RNAcentral.
UGCUUUUCUGAAAGUGUUCUCGCGUUUUUGUCCUGCUCUGUUUAAGCCAUGUGUGGCGGAAGCCGUCUCAGUCCGAGAAGCAUUGUCGUGGCUUAAGGUUGAAGGCUUUGAUAGAGGUUUUUACUGCUCUUUAGUCUCGGAUCUUAGAUUUUUUAGCGCUGGGAAUUCUGAUUGAUGAUUGCCGAAUCCUGCUGGCUCAAUUUCAAGACGUGACCUUCCGUUGGGUGUGUCGAAG